GCGGAUGUAGCUCAGCUGGAUAGAGCAUCUGCCUCCUAAGCAGGGGGUCGCGCGUUCGAAUCGCGCCAUUCGCACCA
This 77-nucleotide transfer RNA is filed under the name Anaerovibrio sp. RNAcentral describes it as "tRNA-Arg". It matches the Rfam family "tRNA". From Rfam's summary of the family: Transfer RNA (tRNA) molecules are approximately 80 nucleotides in length. Their secondary structure includes four short double-helical elements and three loops (D, anti-codon, and T loops). The record is from RNAcentral. RNAcentral also lists the same sequence under 2 other names. Lineage: Bacteria; Bacillati; Bacillota; Negativicutes; Selenomonadales; Selenomonadaceae.